Molecule: ribosomal RNA, 253 nt
Filed under: uncultured bacterium
Lineage: Bacteria
Description: partial 16S ribosomal RNA
Rfam family: Bacterial small subunit ribosomal RNA
Source: RNAcentral
UACGUAGGGUGCAAGCGUUGUCCGGAGUUAUUGGGCGUAAAGAGCUCGUAGGCGGUCUGUCGCGUCGGCUGUGAAAACCCGGGGCUCAACCCCGGGCCUGCAGUCGAUACGGGCAGACUAGAGUGCGGUAGGGGAGACUGGAAUUCCUGGUGUAGCGGUGAAAUGCGCAGAUAUCAGGAGGAACACCGGUGGCGAAGGCGGGUCUCUGGGCCGUAACUGACGCUGAAGUGCGAAAGCUAGGGGAGCGAACGGG